RNAcentral lists this ribosomal RNA (253 nucleotides) under uncultured bacterium. RNAcentral describes it as "partial 16S ribosomal RNA". It matches the Rfam family "Bacterial small subunit ribosomal RNA", at positions 524 to 776 of the family's 1533-position model. The record is from RNAcentral.
UACGUAGGGUGCGAGCGUUAAUCGGAAUUACUGGGCGUAAAGCGUGCGCAGGCGGUUUUGUAAGCCAGAUGUGAAAUCCCCGGGCUUAACCUGGGAAUGGCAUUUGGGACUGCAAGGCUGGAGUUUGGCAGAGGAGACUGGAAUUCCCGGUGUAGCAGUGAAAUGCGUAGAGAUGUGGAGGAACACCGAUGGCGAAGGCAGCCCCCUGGGUCAAGAUUGACGCUCAUGCACGAAAGCGUGGGGAGCAAACAGG